AAGUCGUAACAAGGUUUCCGUAGGUGAACCUGCGGAAGGAUCAUUACAACGUAUCCACGUAUCAAACUAGUGCACUGUUCCCUUUAGAGCAAACAACUUGUGGAUGAGGUCAAUGGUCGAUUGCUUUCCGCUGAUGGAGUUCUGGAUUUUCAUCUAAGAACUGGAAAGCGUUCGGCCGCCGAUUGGGAUGGUCGCGUUUCGGCGUGCUGUCUCGAGAGGGGCUUCGUUUGCUCUAUUGCGGUUUUGCGACCGUCAGCGCUUUGUUUCACCAUUAUUAACCCUCUGUAAAUUUUGAACUGAACUUGGAAACUGGUCACUGCUGUCCUUGCUGGCUUUCGCCACGGAUGGCGCUAUGGUGGCCGCGUUUUCCUGAUUAUAUCAAACAAAGAACAACUCUUAGCAACGUAUAUCUUGGUUCUC
This 420-nucleotide unclassified non-coding RNA is filed under the name fungal sp. RNAcentral describes it as "partial internal transcribed spacer region". The stretch from base 1 to 46 matches the Rfam family "Eukaryotic small subunit ribosomal RNA", at positions 1786 to 1831 of the family's 1831-position model. The record is from RNAcentral. Lineage: Eukaryota; Fungi.